UGAGAUGAGAUCGCGCCAUUGCACUCCAGCCUGGACGACAGAGCGAGAUUUCAUCUCAAAAAAAAAAAAAAAAAAAACAAAAAAGGAUCCUCAGGGCUGCCAACCUUAUAGUAGAAGUUGAGGUGGUAGUGGAUUUCUCCUACACAA
RNAcentral lists this small nucleolar RNA (147 nucleotides) under Pongo abelii (Sumatran orangutan). The stretch from base 49 to 147 matches the Rfam family "Small nucleolar RNA U109". The record is from RNAcentral. Lineage: Eukaryota; Metazoa; Chordata; Mammalia; Primates; Hominidae.